This 253-nucleotide ribosomal RNA is filed under the name uncultured bacterium. RNAcentral describes it as "partial 16S ribosomal RNA". It matches the Rfam family "Bacterial small subunit ribosomal RNA", at positions 524 to 776 of the family's 1533-position model. The record is from RNAcentral.
UACGUAGGUGGCGAGCGUUGUCCGGAUUUACUGGGCGUAAAGAGCGCGCAGGCGGUCGUACAAGUCGCGUGUGAAAGCCCCUGGCUCAACUGGGGAGGGUCACGCGAUACUGUUCGACUUGAAGGCAGGAGAGGGAAGUGGAAUUCCCGGUGUAGUGGUGAAAUGCGUAGAUAUCUGGAGGAACACCGGUGGCGAAGGCGGCAUCCUGGACCGGGAUUGACACUGAGGCGCGAAAGCCAGGGGAGCAAACGGG